GAUGAACGCUGGCGGCGUGCCUAAUACAUGCAAGUCGAACGCAUAGCGAAAGGUGCUUGCACCUUUCAAGUGAGUGGCGAACGGGUGAGUAACACGUGGACAACCUGCCUCAAGGCUGGGGAUAACAUUUGGAAACAGAUGCUAAUACCGAAUAAAACUUAGUGUCGCAUGACACAAAGUUAAAAGGCGCUUCGGCGUCACUUAGAGAUGGAUCCGCGGUGCAUUAGUUAGUUGGUGGGGUAAAGGCCUACCAAGACAAUGAUGCAUAGCCGAGUUGAGAGACUGAUCGGCCACAUUGGGACUGAGACACGGCCCAAACUCCUACGGGAGGCUGCAGUAGGGAAUCUUCCACAAUGGGCGAAAGCCUGAUGGAGCAACGCCGCGUGUGUGAUGAAGGCUUUCGGGUCGUAAAGCACUGUUGUAUGGGAAGAACAGCUGGAAUAGGAAAUGAUUUUAGUUUGACGGUACCAUACCAGAAAGGGACGGCUAAAUACGUG
RNAcentral lists this ribosomal RNA (497 nucleotides) under uncultured bacterium. RNAcentral's name for it is "partial 16S ribosomal RNA". It matches the Rfam family "Bacterial small subunit ribosomal RNA", at positions 28 to 507 of the family's 1533-position model. The record is from RNAcentral.